This 72-nucleotide transfer RNA is filed under the name Camelus bactrianus (Bactrian camel). It matches the Rfam family "tRNA". Rfam says of the family: Transfer RNA (tRNA) molecules are approximately 80 nucleotides in length. Their secondary structure includes four short double-helical elements and three loops (D, anti-codon, and T loops). RNAcentral also lists the same sequence under 2 other names. The record is from Rfam by way of RNAcentral. Lineage: Eukaryota; Metazoa; Chordata; Mammalia; Artiodactyla; Camelidae.
AGGGAAAUAGCUCAGUGGUAGAGUGCAUGCUUAGCACGCGUCAGGUCCUGGGUUCAAUCCCCAGUAUCUCAG